CUACCCUUGACAUCCUCGGGAUCUGCUAGAGAUAGUGGAGUGCCUUCGGGAACCGAGAGACAGGUGCUGCAUGGCUGUCGUCAGCUCGUGUCGUGAGAUGUUGGGUUAAGUCCCGUAACGAGCGCAACCCUUGUCCUUAGUUGCUAGCAGGUAAAGCUGAGAACUCUAAGGAGACUGCCGGUGACAAGCCGGAGGAAGGUGGGGAUGACGUCAAGUCCUCAUGGCCCUUACGGGUAGGGCUACACACGUGCUACAAUGGACGGUACAAAGGGAAGCGAAGCCGCGAGGUGAAGCGAAUCUUAAUAAAGCCGUUCGUAGUCCGGAUUGGAGUCUGCAACUCGACUCCAUGAAGUUGGAAUCGCUAGUAAUCGCGGAUCAGAACGCCGCGGUGAAUACGUUCCC
Molecule: ribosomal RNA, 402 nt
Filed under: uncultured soil bacterium
Lineage: Bacteria
Description: bacterial SSU rRNA
Rfam family: Bacterial small subunit ribosomal RNA
Source: RNAcentral